RNAcentral lists this ribosomal RNA (440 nucleotides) under uncultured bacterium. RNAcentral's name for it is "partial 16S ribosomal RNA". It matches the Rfam family "Bacterial small subunit ribosomal RNA", at positions 338 to 795 of the family's 1533-position model. The record is from RNAcentral.
CCUACGUGUGGCAGCAGUGGGGAAUAUUGCACAAUGGGGGAAACCCUGAUGCAGCGACGCCGCGUGAGUGAAGACGUAUUUCGGUAUGUAAAGCUCUGUCAGCACGGGAGAAAAUGACGGUACCUGACCAAGAAUCCCCGGAUAACUACGUGCCAGCAGCGGCGGUAAUACGGAGGGGGCAAGCGUUAUCCGGAUUUACUGGGUGUAAGGGGAGCGUAGUCGGAAGUGCAAGUCUGGGGGGAAAGGCGGGGGAUAAACCCCCGGACUGCUCGGGAAACUGCCAGGCUGGAGAGCAGGUGAGGUAAGUGGAAUGCAUAGUGUAGCGGUGAAAUGCGUAGAUAUUAUGAGGAACACCAGUUGCGAAGGCGGCUUACUGGACUGCGACUGACGUUGAGGCACGAAAGCGUGGGGAGCAAACAGGAUUAGAUACCCCUGUAGUC